RNAcentral lists this ribosomal RNA (1157 nucleotides) under Escherichia coli. RNAcentral's name for it is "partial 23S ribosomal RNA". It matches the Rfam family "Bacterial large subunit ribosomal RNA", at positions 1 to 1191 of the family's 2925-position model. Lineage: Bacteria; Pseudomonadati; Pseudomonadota; Gammaproteobacteria; Enterobacterales; Enterobacteriaceae. The record is from RNAcentral.
GGGUUGUGAGGUUAAGCGACUAAGCGUACACGGUGGAUGCCCUGGCAGUCAGAGGCGAUGAAGGACGUGCUAAUCUGCGAUAAGCGUCGGUGAGGUGAUAUGAACCGUUAUAACCGGCGAUUUCCGAAUGGGGAAACCCAGUGUGUUUCGACACACUAUCAUUAACUGAAUCCAUAGGUUAAUGAGGCGAACCGGGGGAACUGAAACAUCUAAGUACCCCGAGGAAAAGAAAUCAACCGAGAUUCCCCCAGUAGCGGCGAGCGAACGGGGAGGAGCCCAGAGCCUGAAUCAGUGUGUGUGUUAGUGGAAGCGUCUGGAAAGGCGCGCGAUACAGGGUGACAGCCCCGUACACAAAAAUGCACAUGCUGUGAGCUCGAUGAGUAGGGCGGGACACGUGGUAUCCUGUCUGAAUAUGGGGGGACCAUCCUCCAAGGCUAAAUACUCCUGACUGACCGAUAGUGAACCAGUACCGUGAGGGAAAGGCGAAAAGAACCCCGGCGAGGGGAGUGAAAAAGAACCUGAAACCGUGUACGUACAAGCAGUGGGAGCCUCUUAAUGGGGUGACUGCGUACCUUUUGUAUAAUGGGUCAGCGACUUAUAUUCUGUAGCAAGGUUAACCGAAUAGGGGAGCCGAAGGGAAACCGAGUCUUAACUGGGCGUUAAGUUGCAGGGUAUAGACCCGAAACCCGGUGAUCUAGCCAUGGGCAGGUUGAAGGUUGGGUAACACUAACUGGAGGACCGAACCGACUAAUGUUGAAAAAUUAGCGGAUGACUUGUGGCUGGGGGUGAAAGGCCAAUCAAACCGGGAGAUAGCUGGUUCUCCCCGAAAGCUAUUUAGGUAGCGCCUCGUGAAUUCAUCUCCGGGGGUAGAGCACUGUUUCGGCAAGGGGGUCAUCCCGACUUACCAACCCGAUGCAAACUGCGAAUACCGGAGAAUGUUAUCACGGGAGACACACGGCGGGUGCUAACGUCCGUCGUGAAGAGGGAAACAACCCAGACCGCCAGCUAAGGUCCCAAAGUCAUGGUUAAGUGGGAAACGAUGUGGGAAGGCCCAGACAGCCAGGAUGUUGGCUUAGAAGCAGCCAUCAUUUAAAGAAAGCGUAAUAGCUCACUGGUCGAGUCGGCCUGCGCGGAAGAUGUAACGGGGCUAAACCAUG